This 253-nucleotide ribosomal RNA is filed under the name uncultured bacterium. RNAcentral describes it as "partial 16S ribosomal RNA". It matches the Rfam family "Bacterial small subunit ribosomal RNA", at positions 524 to 776 of the family's 1533-position model. The record is from RNAcentral.
UACGUAGGGUGCAAGCGUUAAUCGGAAUUACUGGGCGUAAAGCGUGCGCAGGCGGUUUUGUAAGUCAGAUGUGAAAUCCCCGGGCUUAACCUGGGAACUGCGUUUGAAACUACAAGGCUUGAGUGUGGCAGAGGGGGGUGGAAUUCCACGUGUAGCAGUGAAAUGCGUAGAGAUGUGGAGGAACACCGAUGGCGAAGGCAGCCCCCUGGGCUAACACUGACGCUCAUGCACGAAAGCGUGGGGAGCAAACAGG